This is a non-coding RNA of Dermacentor albipictus, 816 nucleotides long. The record is from RefSeq and is a predicted model, not a curated record. Lineage: Eukaryota; Metazoa; Arthropoda; Arachnida; Ixodida; Ixodidae.
GCCCUGCAUGCAGGCAGUACACACCACCGUCGCUGACUGGCGGUGGUGUUGCAGCAGGCGAGGUUAGCCUGGCGUGCAUGUUUCCUUCGGUGGUGGGCCUGUGAACAACCUGUUCUGAUUUCCCGAUCAAGGAAACGCACCGACGCUGUAAGUGUUAUCCGGUCUAAUGACCAAUGACGCAACUGUCUGCCUUUGGGAUGCAAUUGUUUGCGCGACAGACGUCGAAGGACCGAGACACGCCGGCAUAUCACCCGCUCAACUGAGCCAGUCAAGGGCAAGCAUCGGCACGGGAUAAAAUUUCUACCCCGGCGAAGCCGUCCCCGCAGAUGACCAGGCAGCGCACGGCGGGUCAGCGCCGGCCUUCAGUGGACGGAGGAUGCAAAAAUAAAACAAAAUAAAAAGUAAGGGCGAGGGUAGGGGUGGCAGGGAGAAAGGUGAGGCCGCGGGAGUUGUGCCAUCGCGACUGCACCGCCCGGUCUCCCUGGAAACCGAAACCGACAACAAUGGCAGAGCGUGGGGGACAAGAGCGGCGCGCGCGCGACACGCCAUGAUUAUUUCAGGGGUGGGCGACAGCAGCCGGCCGGCGCACCACCGAGAGAGGGGCCCGGUCGGGAUGCUCGGUGCCGUUCGGCUGGCGCGACAGUGCGUGCAUACAUACAGAGCCGCGCAGUGCCGCAAGACACGCGCGAUGAGCCAUUUUACCGCCGGGAUGACUUGCCAAAGCAAGAUGGUGAAGCAGAACAGGGCGACGGGUGAUUAAUAUGUUGGCGAAAAUCAAGUUUCCUGCUCCUUACACUAUAGCAAGUGCCAGGACCG